This 440-nucleotide ribosomal RNA is filed under the name uncultured bacterium. RNAcentral's name for it is "partial 16S ribosomal RNA". It matches the Rfam family "Bacterial small subunit ribosomal RNA", at positions 338 to 795 of the family's 1533-position model. The record is from RNAcentral.
CCUACGGGAGGCAGCAGUAGGGAAUAUUGCUCAAUGGGGGAAACCCUGAAGCAGCAACGCCGCGUGGAGGAUGAAGGUUUUCGGAUUGUAAACCCCUUUUGUUAGAGAAGAACAUGGCGGUAUCUAACGAAUAAGCACCGGAUAAUACCGUUCCAGCAGCCGCGGUAAUACGGAGGGCGCAAGCUUUACUCGGAAUCACUGGGCGGAAAGAGAGCGUAGGCGGUAUAGCAAGUCAGAUGUGAAAUCCUAUGGCUUAACCAUAGAAGUGCAUUUGAAACUGUUAUGCUAGAGUAUGGGAGAGGUAGGUGGAAUUCUUGGUGUAGGGGUAAAAUGCGUAGAGAUCAAGAGGAAUACUCAUUGCGAAGGCGACCUGCUAGAACAUAACUGACGCUGAUGCGCGAAAGCGUGGGGAGCAAACAGGAUUAGAUACCCGAGUAGUC